Molecule: long non-coding RNA, 1137 nt
Organism: Marmota monax (woodchuck)
Lineage: Eukaryota; Metazoa; Chordata; Mammalia; Rodentia; Sciuridae
Exons: 5
Source: RefSeq, a predicted model, not a curated record
CUCAGGGAGUCUAGAAGCAGGAUGCCAUCUAUUCACACGGCUAUGGUCAGUGUGGCUGGAGAUGGUCAAUUUCAAUGAGAGGCCUGCUCUAAUUGUGAAAGGCAAACCCAGCCCAGUGCAGACUGCGAUCUGGAUCUGCCCGGAACGACUAAUGGAACAGCAACCUUAGCCUUCCAAAUUAAAGCCAGGAUGAGGGUCUCCUGCUCAUGGUCCUGAAUACAGAAAAGUGUCUAGCUGCUGCCUUGGCAGAAGUGCAGCCGGCCUCCAGAACACCGUCUGGGACUGGGGGCAACCUGCAAACGCCUGGUUCUGGUCCACACAGAGGGGACAGCAGAGCAGAGGGCUAGGUUUGGAAACCUUUGUAACAUCUGACUGGUGCCUGGUCAAGUUGGGAGCUGGCCGAGGACCACACAGGAGCUCCCCUGCAGAGCGACCAAACGGAAGAGGGCCCUUUGCCUUGAGACCAGCUUCAGGGAGUGGCCACGGGUCAACCAUCAGCUUCAUUUGAGUUCGCUGUGGAGCAGUGGGGCAAGGCCACCUACAGGCAGCUCCCUGGUUGCCCCCGCAGGCAGUCAUGGGCUCCCACCACCAGCUGGAACAGAAGAGCCACAGCAAAAGCUGCUGCGGCUGCUGCUUGGAGAGGCGCGGAUACCCGGAGGGCCCGGCGGGAGGCUGGAGGCUGCAUCUGUCUCCUGUGUUCACAAAACACUCGCUCUUCUCAUCUGUAUGAUACGGGCUCGGCCUCUGCUAAGUGCACAAUUUCGUGAUUAAGUGUGCAAAGUCUAGCGGGGCAAGGAUGCAGCCUGCGCCUCGCCAGUCUUGGUCUUAGCUUUCAGGGGGAAGCGACAAGCCUGGAAUCGAGAUGCUGGCUCACAGUUCAUUGAGACAUUUUUCCCUGGCAAAGGUGGUCUUUGACGUGGAUUCAACAGUGCAAGAUGCUCUCCGACAGGGAGACCUGCCCUCGCUUCCUGCCUGUCACGGAGGAGCCCUCUGCCACAGAAGAGGGGGGAAACACAAGAGGAGACUUUUCCACUUAUUUCCUUCCCUUUAGCUCUUAGUGGUAUUUUUAUUUUUUUGCUCAAAAAGCAAACUUUCCUCAAAAAUUUGAGUCCUAGUACUAUUAAGUUCUAUGUAAUA